This 915-nucleotide long non-coding RNA is filed under the name Bos indicus x Bos taurus (hybrid cattle). RNAcentral's name for it is "lncRNA (ENSBIXG00005004280.1)". Lineage: Eukaryota; Metazoa; Chordata; Mammalia; Artiodactyla; Bovidae. The record is from RNAcentral.
GAAAUCCUCCUAACUUCCACAAGGGCUGAGUACUGCUGACAUUGGGAAUGCUGACUUCAGUCUGCUUGCCAUUCUAAUUCCCCUAGUAAAUUAGUCUACCCACACUCAGACUUACCACGUCUUACUUAAGUUCUUGCUUGAGUGAGAUGAUGAGUGGUUUUUCUUUUUCUCCUGUCCACUCCUCACACCCCUUGAAGCAGGAAACAUUCAAAGUUUCGGUAAUGGGUGUGGGGUAGGUGCAGGGUUUCCGUAAACAGAAGUCAAGACCUGAGAAGAGAAAGAUGAUCUUAAGCAUUUUUUUUUUCCAUUUUGGCUAUGAUGCCUGACACAUGGGAUCUUAGUUCUCUGACCAGGGAUCAAACCCGUGCCCCCUGCAGGGGUCCUAACCACUGGAUUCCUAACCACUGGACCUCCAGGGAAGUCCCAAUAAGCUUACAGUUUAAUAAGGCGCCAGAGAGCCACUAGCAGGAAUUCAAGAUCUGACUGUCUUCUAGAUACAUCCCUACCACCCCUCUUCCCAACCAGAGCAGAAAGGUUACAAACAUUGAUAUCUGCAGCAGCAAGUUCUCGGUUUUGCCACUUGUUUUACUGCCAUGGAAUCAACUAACAUUGUCUAUGGGCUCCAAUGUGAGUAACAUAAAAAGUACGGUAUUACAGUACAACAGCUGGCAUCGAGUGACCAGGCAAGAAGAGUUACUGACUGGAGGAGGGAAGAUGGUAGAACUGAAGGAUCACCAGCAACAGGAGAUGGAGGGCAAGCUGCAACAUCACUCAUGCCUGACGUUGAUGGAACAUACAUUCCCAUCUUUGAAAGUUCAAAACGUGACGAUUUGUAUGUAGGGAACUUAUUAAUGCUUUUAUUAUAAACUGUUUUUGAACAAUAAAUAUACAGUAAUUUUAUUCUAAUUGGUGGAA